UCAAAACUAAUCAAACCAUCUUAAGAAAAAAUUGGUGGCAGAACCUACCCUUAGCAUUAUUAUGCAUUUUAAAGCAAAUUGUAGCUAAAUAAGAACAAAAAACCAUACAAUCUUGAAGAAAAAAAGAAGUUUGUCUUACUCUGGACAUACACUAUUUCUAAAUUAAUUAUAUACAUUUCAAUAUGUCCAAGGUGAAAACUAAUCCAACCAUCUCAACAUGGUGACAAAACCUACUCUCAACAUA
RNAcentral lists this long non-coding RNA (244 nucleotides) under Phaseolus vulgaris (common bean). RNAcentral's name for it is "long non-coding RNA (PVUL_LNC004116)". The record is from RNAcentral. Lineage: Eukaryota; Viridiplantae; Streptophyta; Magnoliopsida; Fabales; Fabaceae.